Molecule: ribosomal RNA, 219 nt
Filed under: Triticum aestivum (bread wheat)
Lineage: Eukaryota; Viridiplantae; Streptophyta; Magnoliopsida; Poales; Poaceae
Description: partial small subunit ribosomal RNA
Source: RNAcentral
AUGGCCCGUUGCCGGCACCGCAUCAAGAUCACCGCCAAUGGCAAGUCCGUGUAUGCCAAGGUGGUGGACGAGUGCGACUCCGUCUAUGGCUGCGACGAAAACCACAACUACGAGCCCCCGUGUGCCGACAACAUCGUCGACGCGUCUCCUGCGGUGUGGAAUGCCUUGGGGCUUGACCAGAAUGUCGGCAUGGAGGGAAUCACCUGGUCUGAUGAGUGA